CGCGUAGGCGGUUGUGUAAGUUGGAUGUGAAAGGCCCGGGCUUAACCUGGGAGUUGCAUCUGAUACUGCAUGACUAGAGUAGUGUAGAGGGGAGUGGAAUUUCCAGUGUAGCGGUGAAAUGCGUAGAUAUUGGAAAGAACACCGGUGGCGAAGGCGGCUCCCUGGACACAUACUGACGCUGAGGCGCGAAAGCGUGGGGAGCAAACA
Molecule: ribosomal RNA, 207 nt
Filed under: uncultured bacterium
Lineage: Bacteria
Description: partial 16S ribosomal RNA
Rfam family: Bacterial small subunit ribosomal RNA
Source: RNAcentral